UUAAGCGACUAAGCGUACACGGUGGAUGCCCUGGCAGUCAGAGGCGAUGAAGGACGUGCUAAUCUGCGAAAAGCGUCGGUAAGGUGAUAUGAACCGUUACAGCCGGCGAUGUCCGAAUGGGGAAACCCAGUGCAAUUCGUUGCACUAUCGUUAACUGAAUACAUAGGUUAACGAGGCGAACCGGGGGAACUGAAACAUCUAAGUACCCCGAGGAAAAGAAAUCAACCGAGAUUCCCCCAGUAGCGGCGAGCGAACGGGGAGCAGCCCAGAGUCUGAAUCAGCUUGUGUGUUAGUGGAACGGUCUGGAAAGUCCGACGGUACAGGGUGAUAGUCCCGUACACCAAAAUGCACAGGUUGUGAACUCGAAGAGUAGGGCGGGACACGUGGUAUCCUGUCUGAAUAUGGGGGACCAUCCUCCAAGGCUAAAUACUCCUGACUGACCGAUAGUGAACCAGUACCGUGAGGGAAAGGCGAAAAGAACCCCGGCGAGGGGAGUGAAAAAGAACCUGAAACCGUGUACGUACAAGCAGUGGGAGCACCUUCGGGUGUGACUGCGUACCUUUUGUAUAAUGGGUCAGCGACUUAUAUUCUGUAGCAAGGUUAACCGUAUAGGGGAGCCGCAGGGAAACCGAGUCUUAACUGGGCGUUAAGUUGCAGGGUAUAGACCCGAAACCCGGUGAUCUAGCCAUGGGCAGGUUGAAGGUUGGGUAACACUAACUGGAGGACCGAACCGACUAAUGUUGAAAAUUAGCGGAUGACUUGUGGCUGGGGGUGAAAGGCCAAUCAAACCGGGAGAUAGCUGGUUCUCCCCGAAAGCUAUUUAGGUAGCGCCUCGUGAACUCAUCUUCGGGGGUAGAGCACUGUUUCGGCUAGGGGGUCAUCCCGACUUACCAACCCGAUGCAAACUACGAAUACCGAAGAAUGUUAUCACGGGAGACACACGGCGGGUGCUAACGUCCGUCGUGAAGAGGGAAACAACCCAGACCGCCAGCUAAGGUCCCAAAGUCAUGGUUAAGUGGGAAACGAUGUGGGAAGGCACAGACAGCCAGGAUGUUGGCUUAGAAGCAGCCAUCAUUUAAAGAAAGCGUAAUAGCUCACUGGUCGAGUCGGCCUGCGCGGAAGAUGUAACGGGGCUAAACCAUGCACCGAAGCUGCGGCAGCGACACUAUGUGUUGUUGGGUAGGGGAGCGUUCUGUAAGCCUGCGAAGGUGUGCUGUGAGGCAUGCUGGAGGUAUCAGAAGUGCGAAUGCUGACAUAAGUAACGAUAAAGCGGGUGAAAAGCCCGCUCGCCGGAAGACCAAGGGUUCCUGUCCAACGUUAAUCGGGGCAGGGUGAGUCGACCCCUAAGGCGAGGCCGAAAGGCGUAGUCGAUGGGAAACAGGUUAAUAUUCCUGUACUUGGUGUUACUGCGAAGGGGGGACGGAGAAGGCUAUGUUAGCCGGGCGACGGUUGUCCCGGUUUAAGCAUGUAGGCUGAUUGUCCAGGCAAAUCCGGAUAAUCAAGGCUGAGGUGUGAUGACGAGGCACUACGGUGCUGAAGUAACAAAUGCCCUGCUUCCAGGAAAAGCCUCUAAGCAUCAGGUAACAUUAAAUCGUACCCCAAACCGACACAGGUGGUCAGGUAGAGAAUACCAAGGCGCUUGAGAGAACUCGGGUGAAGGAACUAGGCAAAAUGGUGCCGUAACUUCGGGAGAAGGCACGCUGGUGUGUAGGUGAAGUCCCUGCGGAUGGAGCUGAGACCAGUCGAAGAUACCAGCUGGCUGCAACUGUUUAUUAAAAACACAGCACUGUGCAAACACGAAAGUGGACGUAUACGGUGUGACGCCUGCCCGGUGCCGGAAGGUUAAUUGAUGGGGUUAUCCGUAAGGAGAAGCUCUUGAUCGAAGCCCCGGUAAACGGCGGCCGUAACUAUAACGGUCCUAAGGUAGCGAAAUUCCUUGUCGGGUAAGUUCCGACCUGCACGAAUGGCGUAAUGAUGGCCAGGCUGUCUCCACCCGAGACUCAGUGAAAUUGAACUCGCUGUGAAGAUGCAGUGUACCCGCGGCAAGACGGAAAGACCCCGUGAACCUUUACUAUAGCUUGACACUGAACAUUGAGCCUUGAUGUGUAGGAUAGGUGGGAGGCUUUGAAGCGUGGACGCCAGUCUGCGUGGAGCCAACCUUGAAAUACCACCCUUUAAUGUUUGAUGUUCUAACGUUGGCCCCUGACCGGGGUUGCGGACAGUGUCUGGUGGGUAGUUUGACUGGGGCGGUCUCCUCCCAAAGCGUAACGGAGGAGCACGAAGGUUAGCUAAUCCUGGUCGGACAUCAGGAGGUUAGUGCAAUGGCAUAAGCUAGCUUGACUGCGAGCGUGACGGCGCGAGCAGGUGCGAAAGCAGGUCAUAGUGAUCCGGUGGUUCUGAAUGGAAGGGCCAUCGCUCAACGGAUAAAAGGUACUCCGGGGAUAACAGGCUGAUACCGCCCAAGAGUUCAUAUCGACGGCGGUGUUUGGCACCUCGAUGUCGGCUCAUCACAUCCUGGGGCUGAAGUAGGUCCCAAGGGUAUGGCUGUUCGCCAUUUAAAGUGGUACGCGAGCUGGGUUUAGAACGUCGUGAGACAGUUCGGUCCCUAUCUGCCGUGGGCGCUGGAGAAUUGAGGGGGGCUGCUCCUAGUACGAGAGGACCGGAGUGGACGCAUCACUGGUGUUCGGGUUGUCAUGCCAAUGGCACUGCCCGGUAGCUAAAUGCGGAAGAGAUAAGUGCUGAAAGCAUCUAAGCACGAAACUUGCCCCGAGAUGAGUUCUCCCUGAGACUUUAAGUCUCCUGAAGGAACGUUGAAGACGACGACGUUGAUAGGCCGGGUGUGUAAGCGCAGCGAUGCGUUGAGCUAACCGGUACUAAUGAACCGUGAGGCUUAACCUU
Molecule: ribosomal RNA, 2898 nt
Filed under: Klebsiella pneumoniae
Lineage: Bacteria; Pseudomonadati; Pseudomonadota; Gammaproteobacteria; Enterobacterales; Enterobacteriaceae
Description: bacterial LSU rRNA
Rfam family: Bacterial large subunit ribosomal RNA
Source: RNAcentral